RNAcentral lists this ribosomal RNA (1400 nucleotides) under Enterococcus durans. RNAcentral describes it as "bacterial SSU rRNA". It matches the Rfam family "Bacterial small subunit ribosomal RNA", at positions 61 to 1434 of the family's 1533-position model. The record is from RNAcentral. Lineage: Bacteria; Bacillati; Bacillota; Bacilli; Lactobacillales; Enterococcaceae.
GUCGUACGCUUCUUUUUCCCCGGAGCUUGCUCCACCGGAAAAAGAAGAGUGGCGAACGGGUGAGUAACACGUGGGUAACCUGCCCAUCAGAAGGGGAUAACACUUGGAAACAGGUGCUAAUACCGUAUAACAAUCGAAACCGCAUGGUUUUGAUUUGAAAGGCGCUUUCGGGUGUCGCUGAUGGAUGGACCCGCGGUGCAUUAGCUAGUUGGUGAGGUAACGGCUCACCAAGGCCACGAUGCAUAGCCGACCUGAGAGGGUGAUCGGCCACAUUGGGACUGAGACACGGCCCAAACUCCUACGGGAGGCAGCAGUAGGGAAUCUUCGGCAAUGGACGAAAGUCUGACCGAGCAACGCCGCGUGAGUGAAGAAGGUUUUCGGAUCGUAAAACUCUGUUGUUAGAGAAGAACAAGGAUGAGAGUAACUGUUCAUCCCUUGACGGUAUCUAACCAGAAAGCCACGGCUAACUACGUGCCAGCAGCCGCGGUAAUACGUAGGUGGCAAGCGUUGUCCGGAUUUAUUGGGCGUAAAGCGAGCGCAGGCGGUUUCUUAAGUCUGAUGUGAAAGCCCCCGGCUCAACCGGGGAGGGUCAUUGGAAACUGGGAGACUUGAGUGCAGAAGAGGAGAGUGGAAUUCCAUGUGUAGCGGUGAAAUGCGUAGAUAUAUGGAGGAACACCAGUGGCGAAGGCGGCUCUCUGGUCUGUAACUGACGCUGAGGCUCGAAAGCGUGGGGAGCAAACAGGAUUAGAUACCCUGGUAGUCCACGCCGUAAACGAUGAGUGCUAAGUGUUGGAGGGUUUCCGCCCUUCAGUGCUGCAGCUAACGCAUUAAGCACUCCGCCUGGGGAGUACGACCGCAAGGUUGAAACUCAAAGGAAUUGACGGGGGCCCGCACAAGCGGUGGAGCAUGUGGUUUAAUUCGAAGCAACGCGAAGAACCUUACCAGGUCUUGACAUCCUUUGACCACUCUAGAGAUAGAGCUUCCCCUUCGGGGGCAAAGUGACAGGUGGUGCAUGGUUGUCGUCAGCUCGUGUCGUGAGAUGUUGGGUUAAGUCCCGCAACGAGCGCAACCCUUAUUGUUAGUUGCCAUCAUUCAGUUGGGCACUCUAGCAAGACUGCCGGUGACAAACCGGAGGAAGGUGGGGAUGACGUCAAAUCAUCAUGCCCCUUAUGACCUGGGCUACACACGUGCUACAAUGGGAAGUACAACGAGUCGCGAAGUCGCGAGGCUAAGCUAAUCUCUUAAAGCUUCUCUCAGUUCGGAUUGUAGGCUGCAACUCGCCUACAUGAAGCCGGAAUCGCUAGUAAUCGCGGAUCAGCACGCCGCGGUGAAUACGUUCCCGGGCCUUGUACACACCGACCGUCACACCACGAGAGUUUGUAACACCCGAAGUCGGUGAG